This 975-nucleotide ribosomal RNA is filed under the name Triticum aestivum (bread wheat). Its description in RNAcentral is "partial small subunit ribosomal RNA". The record is from RNAcentral. Lineage: Eukaryota; Viridiplantae; Streptophyta; Magnoliopsida; Poales; Poaceae.
AUGGCGACCCCUUGGUCAUGCCUGAGCAGCAGGACCACUAUGAGGAAUAUGCAAAUUCAGUACAAGAUGCCAGCAUUCCCUGUGUGCUUCCUGUCAUUGUGGUUUGUGAGUUUCCUGCAUCUCCCAACCUCCAGCUCCUUCAUUGUUGAUUUGCCUGAACUGGUUACUACACUAGUUUGCUUGCCAAUAUUGCCUUGGGAUGGAAACAGUAUGCGGCUGCCAUCUGAUCAAUUAUAUGGGCAGAAGAGUAACAUCCGACUACCGGAACACGAUAUGCAUGGGGGGAUUCUGACUGCUUGUGGAAGUACUGUAUUUCAAUGCAAUGUACAUCUGGGAACGAUCCAUGGCAGUUUUGGGAUUGACAAGUUGCAGAGUGGCAUAUCAAUCAAAGCUUGCUGCCCCCAAUUAAAACCUGAACCAUAUGAAGUUACUUGUUGUUCUGCUAUCAGUCUUGCAUUGCAUGCAACAAGCUACUCUUCUGAAAUUUGUGUCCAAGUUCUUGCUGAGAAGAGGAAAUUGUCUUGUGAGCUCUUUCAACCUAGAAUGUUUUGGCCAUACAAGCAGAUAAUUGGUACCCUGGGAAUGCUCUCAUCUGGCGAGGACUUUGAGGUCGGAACUUAUUUUGCAUUCGAGAUGGUAAGCCAUAAUGGUGAAUGGGGCUCUGACCUUGUGCAAUGGAAAAUUGCUUGGCCCAUCUACCUUGCAUCAGCGGAGUCUUGGUUUCCGCCUGGUUUUGCUGGAUGUGAUUCGUUAAUUGGUUGUGACCAUGUUCAAUGGACCAUUGCCUGGUCUCUCGGCUCUUUCCCUGUAUCAAGUCCUCGGACUCGAUCAACAUGUGUCAUUUUCUUGGUGCAGCAUAAUUGUCUACCCAGCUACCAAGGCACCUGGUUCAGUUUUAUGACAGUAUUGUUUGCCAUCCCUCAAUUUGGUGUUGGAGGUAUAUUUUUUCUGAUCAUGAACAAUUCCAGUGGGUAA